Molecule: long non-coding RNA, 700 nt
Organism: Arachis duranensis
Lineage: Eukaryota; Viridiplantae; Streptophyta; Magnoliopsida; Fabales; Fabaceae
Exons: 3
Source: RefSeq, a predicted model, not a curated record
UUCUCUUCCUCACUUACCCCCACUGCGUGGUGCCCUAACCUAGAACCAGAUCCCAUCUCACCUUUCUCUUCUCUCGCCACUCUCUCCCUCAAGCUCGUUGCCGCCUCAAGCUCACGUCGCCGCCUCAAGCUCGUCAUAAGCCCUGUCAUGCUAAGCUCGUCUUCCUGCUUCGGCCAUUAACGCUUCCUCCGCCGUGAGUCUGGGUUUAGGGUUUUAGCUUCAGCCCAGGUAUUUCAUCAAUGCUUGCUUCGUCUCUCUGCCCAGAGGAAUAUUUAAUUCAACACAGGACUAUGCUUCUUCAUUCGAUGGAGAUGGCCAUGGCACGCAUACAGCAGCAGGAAACCAUGAAAUUCCGGUGAUUGUUACUGGGCAUCACCUUGGGAAUGCUAGUGGGAUGGCUCCUUGUUCACAGUAAACCACUAAACCAUGAGUUUUUGUUGGCAUAUAGUGUCAAGUUUGCAAUAGGACCAUAUAUUUAUUACUUGUCAAGAAUUGUGAUUCUUUUUAUUAAGCUACGGGUAUUUGAAUAUAAAGCUUGGUUAGAGUCAUUAGUAUGCUGAAUAACUAGUAUAAGGAUUCUCUGUGUUCUUGAAGAAUUUGAGCUUUUUAAUAGGAUAAUUGAUGCUGUAAGUUAAAUUUGAUGCUGAACAUAUUAUAAAUGUGGUUGUUGCUGGAAGUAAAAUUUGUUGCUGGAUAAUUG